UGUGCCUGAUUAGAUGGUCUUGUUAUGAAGAUUUAAAGAAAACCAUCCUUUAGUCCAUGCUCCAUUGUAAUGAAGUUUAUGUGUGUCUGUCCUUCAGACAGGGGAUUCACAACCUGAAUCCCCUGAAAAUAGAGCUCACACACAAAAUGUGUUUAUUGAAUGGAAUGGAUGAUGAGUGAAAGUAGAUAAUUGCUGGUGAUGGAGAGAAUGGACCGGAGAGGGAGACAGCCUGAGGAAAUGGCACCUGGUGAAGUUUGAAUAAUGGAUGAAAGAAAAUUAGAGGUAAAACUCCACUGCCUCUAAUCUGCAGAAGUGGAAUCGUUUCUUCAAUUGCAGGUUUCAUAUCACCUGCCUGGCCCUCAGCAGGGAAGCCACCAAGCUUACUGUGCUGCUCCGGGAUCCUCACAGGCUGGUGUGGAACAUCUAGCAGAGAUGCUGGGGAGAUCCAUAUUUCACUUGCAGGAAUAGACACACUAUUUCCUUUUGGCAUAGACAAAGGCUCUUUCAGAUGUGAAGUUUCUAUCCACCAUGAAACACAAAUAUUUAAUCCUGACAUAUACAGAAACCAAGCAAGAAUAAAACUUUAAUUUCUAAGAAUAUGAAAUGAAACCUAUACAUGAUAUAAAAAUACACAGUGGAAGGUGUUGUGAGGUGCAGUGCAGUGGAUUUACCUGCCAUAAGAAGCACUCUGAGGAUAGAAGGAUUCUGAUUUAAAAUGAAGACAGCACUCUGGAACGUCUUUAGGACAAAAACCUAACGGGCUACCUUCUAGCAACACAUCAUUUUCAUUGUCUUACAGCCAAACUGAAGGUCCCGAAGCAAAAUAGAUCAUCUGGGUCUACUGUGUGAAGUGGCAAUAGUGGCAAUAUUGCCAAGAGCAGCAAAUCAAUAACUAUUUAUAAGUAGAUUUAUCUGAUUCAUUUAUCAUCUAGAGUAUGUGACCCUAUUUAUGUAUGUAUACCUAGCUAGUUGUGGAUGAAAUGCUGAAAUAUGAAUUAAAAAAUAAACUCAAAUGCUCUCCA
Bubalus bubalis (water buffalo) is the source of this 1022-nucleotide long non-coding RNA. RefSeq lists it as uncharacterized. NCBI's taxonomy places the organism in Eukaryota, Metazoa, Chordata, Mammalia, Artiodactyla, Bovidae. The record is from RefSeq and is a predicted model, not a curated record. The transcript has 6 exons.